GCCGGGUGUGGUGGUGCAUGCCUGUAAUCCCAGCUACUCUGGAGGCUGAGGCAGGAGAAUUGCUUGAACCUGGGAGGCGGAGGUUGCAGUGAGCCAAGAUCAUGCCACUGCACUCCAACCCCAGGUGACAGAGUGAAACUCUGUCUCAA
Molecule: small RNA, 149 nt
Filed under: Pongo abelii (Sumatran orangutan)
Lineage: Eukaryota; Metazoa; Chordata; Mammalia; Primates; Hominidae
Description: Metazoan signal recognition particle RNA (ENSPPYG00000036441.1)
Source: Rfam by way of RNAcentral